UCCUUAUCACAACCGACUCCACAGU
This 25-nucleotide non-coding RNA is filed under the name Rattus norvegicus (Norway rat). The record is from RNAcentral. Lineage: Eukaryota; Metazoa; Chordata; Mammalia; Rodentia; Muridae.